AUGGGCUCCAGUCUCCUCCCCUGGGUGAUGCUUUGCUUCCUGGGAGCAGGCCCCGUGGAGGCAGGAGUCACACAGACGCCAAGACACCUGAUCCAAACAAGAGGGCAGCAAGUGUCGCUGAGAUGUACCCCUCACUCUGGACACAACCGUGUGUUGUGGUACCAACAGGUCCUGGGCCAGGGCCUCCAGUUCCUCUUUGAUUAUUACCAAGGGUCACAGACCUCAAAAGGAAAUGUCUCGGGCAGGUUCUCGGCUCACCAGUUUUCUGACAGGCGCUCUGAAAUGAACGUGAGCGCCUUGGAGCUGCAGGACUCGGCUGUGUACCUCUGUGCCAGCAGCUUGGCACAGCCCCGCGGAGUCCCCAGUGCUCUGUGCACAAACCUCCUCUCCCAGUGUGGAGCAGCCUCAGAGCUGUCACAGAAGUGA
Lepus europaeus (European hare) is the source of this 426-nucleotide non-coding RNA. The record is from the annotation of a RefSeq genome assembly. NCBI's taxonomy places the organism in Eukaryota, Metazoa, Chordata, Mammalia, Lagomorpha, Leporidae.